RNAcentral lists this long non-coding RNA (23165 nucleotides) under Malus domestica (apple). RNAcentral's name for it is "long non-coding RNA (MDOM_LNC007845)". The record is from RNAcentral. Lineage: Eukaryota; Viridiplantae; Streptophyta; Magnoliopsida; Rosales; Rosaceae.
UUUUUUUUUUUCAGUUUACCAAACACAAAAAUGACCAUCAGUUUUUUUUCACAGUGGCUUUUUUUAAAAUCACCUCAAUCCCAAACGGGGCCUUAGUAAUCACAAAUACUUAUCGAAAACUAGACAACAACCUUCACUAAGUUUUUGUGCUGCACUUUCGACAUCAUUGCCACUUCCCUCGCAAACCGCUCUUCUCUCUUGGCAAUCUGCUCUGGGGUUUCUCCUCUAUGAACAUUUUUUACAGCAACUUUUUGACUCUUAUAUCUAGAACAAACAAACGCAACCACCAAACAGAUUAAGAACACAACAGAACAGAACAUCAUCGUUGUAACUCGACACGAAAAACACAUAUUCGGCAUCAUAAACACCAUAAUUGCAGAACACCAAAUCAAGUUUUGAUCUUUGAUUAGUUCUGCAAAAACCCAACUCAAAUUUGCAUUUAUAUUUAACAAGAUCUAAGGCAUCAUAUUAAAUUGCUAAACUUGAGAGACCAGAAAUUCAGAAUUUAAGACAAACAAAAGAUGUUUUGGAUCGAUCAGCCACUUGGCAUCCAAAUCGAAAUCCCCAACUGAAUAAACCCCAUUACCAGAUCCCAUAAUUUUCUCUCUCUAAAAUUCAACAAGAACAAAACAAGAACAACAUACACUGACUAAUUAACCAAAACAAAGGGUACCCUUUAUUUGUAGGACCACAUUUGAAGUAAAGAUGAAAGCUUUGGUCUGGAUAAAAAUGGAAAAAAUUAAUAAAAUCAGCAGACUUCGUAUGAUUGGAGAGGGAGAAAGAUGAAGACUUUCUAUAAUAAAAGGACUUGCUUGGUACUGUAGGUUUCAGAAAACAGACCCAUCCCCGGAAUCACGGUUGAGGAUCCUACAAAGAAUUUAGCACAAGAUUGUUUGCCCUCCCACUUCCGGUGCCCUCUCAUGUCCUUCUGUUUUGUGUGGUCACGAUUAAGCCAUAUCAAUAUUUUAUAUUGUUUUUUUUAUAGAGAUAAUAAGAUAAAAAUAAAUAGUAAUAUAAAAUAUUGAUGUAGCUUAACCGUGACCAUACAAACAGAAGGGUACAUGAGGGCACUAGAAGUGAGAGGGCAGACAAUCCUUGUCCAAAAAUAAAAUCCCAGAGGCACCCACCAACAACCCUACAAUAUAAAAAGGAGGUGGAUUUUCUGCUCUCUCAUUUCCAUACUCUUCCCAUUCCCUUCUGUUUGUGUUAUCACGGUUAGGCCACGUUAACAUUUUAUAUUCAUAUUAUUUUUUAUUUUAUUAUUUUUAUAAAAAAAAUAAUAUAAAAUGUUGAUGUGACUUAAUCGUGACCACACAUCACAGAGGAGAUGAGGAAAGUAUGAAAAUAUGAGGCAAGACAAUCCGCCUCCAUAUAAAAAUGGUCACUGAUGAGAGCUCUAUCAGUGGGAGUGGAUUAGAUUUAUUAUUGGGAAUUGGGGAGAGAGAGGAAUCAGUAGAAGAGCAAGCAGAUAGAGUUGAGCAAGGCAGAGGAGGAUGAAACUGAGAGGAGGUGGAGAUUUGGGAACUUGGUGGCGGCGAUGGUGGCGGUGGGCGGGUGGGAAGUGAGUUCAGUUGAGAUUAAUUUAUUGGCCUUCUCCGCGAGUGGAAUGUUAUUGUCUUGUCUUCUAGAUCCAAAGAUAAACUAGUCUCUGUCAGAGAAUAGUGUGUUUCCUUUGUUUUUCUUCCUUUCUACCUCAUUUUCCCUUAUUUAUACUAGCAAGAAUAAAAAUUUAUAAUAAGAGAAAAUGUAAAUUGAUUUCUAAAUUUUUUUUCUUUAUGAUAUUCAAAUGAUUUUGCCUUGCUGAAUGAGACUGUUCAUAUCUUUGACUACUAGUUCUGAAUAAAUAUUUCUUUAACUAAAAGUUUACAAGGCAACUGAAAUGAUUACUUAGUUAUAAGACUUUGGAAAAAAAAUUACAAGUAUUUUGUGUGCAAUUUACUAUAUUAUGCAUAACUUUUAAUAUAUUAAUUUAUUUAAGUUAAUUUGGUCUUUUAACUUUUAUUUGGUUGAUUAAAAGAGUUUUGUUGAUAGGUAGUUUAGAUUAUAAUAAAAUAAAAUAAUUACUAAAUAAAUAGUUUUUUUAAUAAUAUGAUAUUAUGUACAUUAAGUGGUGGAGGGAGUGAGUUAAGCUUCACAAUGAGAUAGUCAUAAUAAUUUGUUCAAAUUUAUCUUAAUGAUAAUCGAACUUAAGACUUCUUAUGUAUGAGAGAUUUUUCAAUUUACUAGAAACACAUUGUAAAAAUACAAUUGGUUGGAAACUUAAAAAAUACAAUUUCAAACUAUUUUAUUAUGACACUUGGUGUAUCAAGUCAUGUUUAGUGUUCACACCACACUGAAAAUUUUCUCCUCACUUACAAGUCAAAAGGAAUACUAUUAAAUCGUAAUAUAAGUGACUACUAAAUAACUAAUUUAUAUAUUUGAUUUUUAAAAGUUUAGGGGAAAGGAAAGCUAAUCCAUCAAGGCCAAGGCAUAUAACAAGUAUCCUCGAGAACUUACACAAGGGGUCUUAGUCCUUUUUUUGUUUUUACAGAUCUUGCACAAAAAAUGGUUGCUUACAAUGGAACUCAAACAUAGACCUUGCAACUCAACCAAUCCUCAGUGGAAAAUACACAUGUAUUUGAGCAAUCUUUUAAUUAAUUUAAACUAAAUUAUCGAGUCAAAACUCCAUGCAAUAAACAUAUUGUUUUAAUUAAAUUAUUCAUAUACAAUAAUAAAAUGUCUAUUUAUAUCAUAGAUUCUAAGAUUUGAUAAAGAGAAUAUUUCCAAGAUGUGCAUAGACAUAAAACACAUACACACUACUCUAACUAAAUUAAUCAAGAACAAUUCUGCAAGAAAAUGGAAGAUAUGUGACUUUUAUUUAUUUCCUAGAUUCUAAGAAGGAUAAGAAAAUGUUGUCGGAGAAAAAGAAAGGUAAACGGGCGAUAAGAAGACGAAUACAACACAAUGAUACAAUUGGGGCUUCGAGAAAGUGCCCUUUUGGUAUCCACUAAGGCCAAAAACCCAUCACAAUAAUUGAAUUACCAAUGUCUUAUUAGAAAGUAAAACACAUUAUUUUGGCGAUUUUGAAACUUGAAUGACAAAUAUGACAUAGACAAUAAGGAUGUGUGACUCAGAUACCAGGUUGGAGGAAAAUGGACUGAAGUACAAAGGUUAAGGCAAGGAGAUAUGUGAGAGGUAUUACAUGAGUUAAUUAUCAAAUUAUUAUGACAUAUUUUAUCGCGUUUUUUAUGAGAGAUUUUUUAGUGUGCUGAAAACACAGCUCGAUACAUCAAGUGUCAUCACAUAACUGAUUGGAUACUUGAAAAAAAUAAAAUUCAACUUGUAUGAUGACACUUGAUUUAUCGGGUUGUAUUCCGGCACACUAAAAAGUUGUCAUCUCCUAGUUCAGAUAUACUGCUCUUUAUUUUAAACACAUCUUUGUACUCAUUAAAAGACAAAAAGACAAGCAAAUAUUUUGGUCCCAGUAUGCAAGAACCAUACAAUAUACUUAGAAAUAUCAAGCAUCCCGUUGGAAAUCAACUGUAAGGCAAAUAUUAUCAACGAAACAAAAGAAGGAAUUGCACAAUUCAUUUGGUGAUUAGGCGAACUAACAACAAAAAAAAUAUAAAAAAUAACGAGUCAAUAAUUUAAACACUGAACUAAAUGAUCCUUACGAAGAUGUGGGUUGUUGAAGAGUUAGAUCAUCACUUUCCUUAACUACACCAAACAACAUACUCCAAAUGGCUUUUGCAAUCAUUGUUUUACCUAUACCGCCCAUACUUCAAAUUCCAAUUAUUUGAACAUCAGGUGAACCUCCAACAUCCAAGUAUUUAGUACUGAAUUCUUGCACGCAAAAAGUUGUUCCAACUGAGUGCUUGGUUUCUUUUAAGUCUGUAGUUUUCAGUAGUCUCCUAAUGUCUCCAACAAUUUUCUCGAUAAACAAUCAUUGAUGUCUCGCGGUUAAAAUUCAAAAUUAUACAAAAGUAAGAUUCAUCAUGCAACUGCAAGAUUUAUAUCAACUAAAGGCUUUUGAUUCAAAAUGGUCCCUGAGAUUUGCAUCAUCCAUAAGUUUGGUCCCUGAGAUUUAAAAUUAAUAGAAGUAGUCCCUGCGAUUGUCCACCAUCCAUGAUUUUAGUCCUUCCGCUAAAGUUUUUGGCCAGAAGUUGGGCAAUUUUCAAAGCUUCGUAACUCAAUCGUUUUUUAACCAAAUUCGACCCAUAAUAUAUCAAAAUGAAGAUAGGAAAGUGUAGAAUAAGAUUAUAUCUAUUUGGAAGCCCAAUCAAUGGAAAACUGGAAAACUUGCCGGAAACUCGCCGAAAACUGGGUAAAUUUUAAACAUUCAUAACUUCUUCAAUACUCAACGAAAUCAAGUGAUUCAAAAACAAAAACCAUACUUCUCAACAAGAAGAAGAGAAUGGUACCUUUUUAAAUGGCUAACUCGCCUUGGUUUGGCCGGAAAACGGCUCGAAAGUGGCUGUUGAAAAACGAGUUAGCAACUUUCGAGCCGUUUUCCGGCCAAACCAAGGCUUUUUAGCCGUUAAAAAAGGUACCAUUCUCUUCUUCUCGUCGAGAAGUAUGAUUUUUGUUUUUGAAUCACUUAAUUUUAUUGAAGACGUUAUGAACGUUUAAAGUUUAUCCAGUUUCCGGCGAGUUUUCCAGUUUUUCCUCGGACCAGUCAAUUUUGAGGCUAUUUUCCGACCAUCGUCGGCAACCAUUGGGCUUCCAAAUAGAUAUAAUCUUAUUCUAUACUUUCCUAUUUUCAUUUUGAUAUAUUACGGGUCGAAUUUGGUUAAGAAACGAUUGAGUUACGAAGCUUUGAAAAUUGCCCAAACUUCCGGCCAAAAGCUUCAACGGAAGGACCAAAAUCAUGGAUGGUGGACAAUCUUAGGGACAACUUCUAUUGAUUUUAAACCUCAGGGACCAAACUUAUGGAUGAUGCAAAUCUUAGGGACCAUUUUGAAUAAAAAACCUCAACUAAAUGCCUCAUUCAUCAUGAUUAGAUAUUUUGGUAGCGAAAACGUUUUGAAUAAGUUAGAUUUGAUCGAGAUGACUAGUUAAGUUCAAUUUAGCCGUGUUUCUGAAAUGCAUUGUAACCGUAUUAGUUAAGCUCAGUUAGAUUGCUCAUGAACUAUAAGAAGGCGUUUGUUUGCCCUCACUAAACCGUAUUAUAGCUUUUAGUCAUACAAUUAGAAAUCCAUUAGAAUUAGUAUAUGGGUUUGACAUACGGAGGAUUCGUCCUUCACGCAUUACCAAAAGCUCCAAAGUUUUUUCCUAUAAACGUAUAAAAUCAAAGUCUGAUCAUAAUCUCCUUAUUUUUGGUGAAUUAGUGAGUCUUAGAAGCUAAUACAAGACAUUGGAAUUAAAUUUAGAGGAAAAAUUAAAAUACCUGUCCGCUGUGGUUUUAAGAUUCCGGCCACACAAAUCUGCAGAAGCCUUAAGAUCCUUCUCCACUGCUCGACCUCAUCUGGAUCUUCAUCCCUUUCAUGCUAACAAAGUUAAAAGAAUAAGGUAAAGUGAGACACCUAAUAAAAGUUUAGGUGGUAAAGUGAACAAAUGAGCAUAUAGAGUGAAGUAAAAUUUUGUCUACAUAAGUGUCAUAGAAAUGCCUUUAAUAUUUUUUACAUAUAGAAAAUAAAUAGGGUUAAUUACAUCGAUGUUCCCUGAAUUUGUCAUUUAUCUUCAUUUUCAUUCUUAAACAUUUUAUUUGUUUUAUAUGAUCUUCAAGCUCGCUAUUGCAUGACUUUUUUUUUUAUAUCCUUUUCGUCAACUUCAUCUAUUUUUCUAUUAAGUAGAGAUGAUAAAUUUAAAAUUCAUCCCACAACCUAAAAAAUGGGAAAAAGGAGGUGGAUGUACAAAAUUCUUGCUAUGCCCUCUAUAUUUAACAGAAAAAUAAAAAUAAAUUGGUCAAAAAUAGAUUUUGUUAGAUUAGUCACUAACGGGGUUCAAACUCACACCGUCAUGCAAGAUCUUAACUCAUUUCCACCACUAUAGUAAAGGGCCACUUGCAACCAAAAAAUAAAUUGAAUUAAUGGAUAUAAUUGAAUCACCACAUGAGAGAGUUUGAGAACCACAAUAAGAAAAAAAAAAAAGAAAAACUAUUCUAGAACGAAAGUAAAAUUCUUGACAACAAUGUUGUAUAUUUGAAAAAUAGUUCAAGCAGAUUAAGAUGUUAGCACAGAGUCAUUUAUCUCGUUUAUUGAACAAACAACGAGGACAUCAAUGCCGUUUUUUCUCUUUUGAAAUUCCUAAACAACAAAAUUGAGAUUUCUUUCACAAAAAUUACCAUAAAUUUUGACAAAAUUGACGGUCGAAUUAUAAAUCCAGCAGGCAAAUCGAAAACAAUCACAGGAGCUUAGAACACACCACAUCAACAUUUAGCAAGCAGUCUCAUAGGAAAUCCCAAUCAAGAUAAAACUAUUCAACAAUUUAUUACAUUUCGUUCAUAUAAGAGCAUGGUUAGGAGGAUUAUUUAAUUGACGUUAUAACAUCUUUCUACAAAGAAAAAAAUGAAAAAGAAAAUAGGGCCUCGGCACCCGUGGCAAAACCCAACAUGGAUUAGAGUACGUUUCAGCCUGACCUUCUGUAAAAGCUAUAGGCCACAGCCACUGUUGCCACUGCUCCAACCACGGCAGCAGCUGCGAGAACAUCGCUUUGCUCCCAGUUCCCAAUCAAGCUUGACAGCUUCCGUAAGGCAUCCUUUGUGGCACACGACUCUGUGGUUUCUUUCGACUUCAUUUCCUCACUUCCACCGUUCUCCUCCAAACUUACUUCUUUGCAGCAUGUAAAUCCAUCACUAUUAGCACCCUGGCAACAGCUUGAAAAGUUCUCAUUAUUCUCAAUAUGAUUGCCCUUUUCUUGGUGAAUCUGAUUGCUAUUUUCAUGUGGCUUCUCCUUGAUUUUCUUAUUUUCUUCUCCAUUUGGAAGUUCCCGGUCAUUAAUUUGUUCAGCUUCAUCAGAAAAUGCUCCCAUUUGGCCUCUGUAAGGAAUGAAAUUGAAUUUCGUGUUCAGCUAUUUAAAGAUUCAACUCUUAAGUUUCUUCAAUGCAGUUACAUCCAAUUUAGAAACAUAUACAGAGUAAUACUGUUGUAUCCAAUUCUUUUGUGCUUUCUCCACAGAAGUUCCUCGAUGUUAUUGUAACUCUAUAUCAAUAAAUCUAUCAUACAAGACUAGACAUAACCAUCAAUUGAAAAAUAUGACAACACAAGCUUCCGUCCAGUGAAAUUUUCAUCCAAAGACAAUAGGCAAAACCGAAAAUCUACAAACCUCCAAAGUCGUUCUAUAAUCUCUCCCUUCCCAAUAUGCUCAUCAAGCAAUUCCGGCACAUCAUCAGGAGUGACGUAGCCAUACCUGCAAUUAAUAAUACAUAAUAUUCAAAUUUCAUCGAUCCCAAUACGACAAAAUUUUAGAUUGUUAUGAUCCGAAUAUUACCAAUGGCCUGUUAUGCUUCCAUCUGAACCUGGGCUGUAGAUAAUCAAGUUUCCAUUGUGGCCUCCAGUGUGAAAGCAAGCAGCAACAAAUAUCUGAUUCGUCAAUCCUCGUAGCUCAGCCUCCUCUUUGAACUUAUUAAUGAGAACACAUGCACUAUCACGAUUCCAUUCCUCUCGACUACCAUGUGCACAUACAAAUACAUAGGAGCCAGUCAACGACUCUUGCACUCCGGAAGCCCAUGGUUUGUGAUUCACAAGGACAUCAUCAACAAAGCUGCCCACAUCCGACUCUUUCAAGCCCCUUUGACAACAAACAAAAACAACCUCAUAAUCACAAAAAGGGAUUUACAGGCAAGGAAUUAGUCGUAAACUGAGCCAUUAAAUUCAAAGGAAAACUAAUGAAAAGAGCUUGAAAACUUUGAGUUUUAACGAUAAGGACAAAAUAAAGGGUAAAGUGAAUAGUACCAGGAUUGACUUUUUAGUGCAAAAAUGUGGUUUUUCGUUAAAGUGAAAAGUACCAAGAGCUUUUCGUUAAGGUUCCCUAAAUUCAAUUUCUACAACUAAUUUCAGAAGCUAACACACAUCUAAUCAUCUAUUUAGGUCAGUGGAUUCAUGUUGGUUAUGGAAUGGGCCCUCCAUUAUGAAUUAAUUACGGUUUGCCAUUGUGUGUGUUAGUGUGGGCCGUGCUUAACAGCUGGGUUGGGCUGCUGCAUUUGGGCCCAGGGUGCAGCUCUCACGGGUUUUGGGCUGGGUUUCACCGAAAUAUCAAAUGACUCUUUUGCCCCCUUCAGUCCUAAUCCGACGGCCACCAUUUGCGGCGUUUGUGGUCUGCAAUUCGGUGGGGGGGGGAGGUGGGGUUAGCUUGCUUUCAAUCUCGUCAAGGAGUUCGUGCAGAGAGGCAGGGGAUGACAUCAAGUUUAGGGUGUGCACAGUGAGAGAGAAGAGGGUAGGAGCUAGAGAGAGGGGGGUGGGUUCUGUCCGCGGACGUAGGUUGCAGAGAGACAGAGAUGGGGAAAAGUAUGGGGGUGGGGUUGAGGGGAACGUGUACACAGAGAGAGUGAGGAAGGGACAUAGGAGCUAGAGGUAUGGGAAAGGAGUCGAGGAGUUGAGGAGUCGAGGGGUUGAGGGGUUGAGGGGUUGAUUUGUCAGGGGCUGCUGCAUCCUUCCUAUUCAAAAGGUAACAAAUAAUUUUCAAUUCAUUCUUUACCCUUGAAUGUGGAUUUACUGUUCGGGGUUGAGGAGGACAUCAUAUAUCUUCCCUUUUUCUGAAUUUUAGUUCUGUCUUCUUCGACUCUUAUAUCUUCCCUUUUUCUGAAUUUUCUUUAUUUCUCAUCCUUUAAACUUUGUAUUUUUUUUAAAUAUUUAUUUUUUUGGUGAUGCAGAUAGAUGAACAUGUUCAAAGGGGAAUCAUGAACCACAGAUCACUGCAUCCGAAUAUAGUUUGAUUCAAAGAGGUCAGUGAUCAUAAACUAUUUUCAUUUUGUAUUUUAAGAAUGAAUUUGGCAAGUUUUGUUUGAAUUUUGUAUAAGUAUCUGCUGAGGGUGGGUGGAUGAAGACAGAACAAACUAAAUUUGGCCUCUGGUGUGCUUAAACUGGUACGGGGGAGGGUUAGAACUUUGAGCCCAUGAUGCAGUAGGACUAGAGAAAUGCGGCAAUCCACCACUUGCAGAAUUAUUGUCAAAAUAACUCUGCUAAAAAUAUGAGCUAUGCUUCCUGCACUUUGUUUUUACUGUGAAGUGGAAAUAGUCUUUAGCGUGGCUUAUUUGUGAUAAUUGAUAAAGAGGUUAGUGUUUAAGACUUGAGAGUAGUGCGGUGUCUUUCUCGCUGGUUCUGAUGAUGGAGUACACGGCUGGGUGAGAACUCUUCGAGGGAAUAUGAGGAUGAGAUAAAGUAGUUUCAAAUACAGGGAAAAUUUCAUUGGAAAUGAUUUUAGUUUAGUUUCAGCUAGGGAAAGUUAGGUCUGAAGCAUUUUUACAUAAACAGUCGGUCAUAAUAUAACUAAAACUUACAUACUUUUUCGAUUUAAUUGUUGUUUUGCAUCAGGCAAAGUUUUUCUUCCAGCAGUUGAUAUCAGGAGUUAGUUGCUGUCAUUUGAUGGUAUGUAAUGUGGCACUUUUCUGCUAAUGCGUUGUAUACUGUUAUUUAUUUCUCUUUUGAUAUUGGAAGUGUUGGUUGUAGUAAGGAAAUAAUUCGUUUCAAUAGUAUACGACUUCGGUUUAAUAGUAUAUGACUCAGUUUUUGAAUAGCACUCAGGUGGUAUUACGACUUAGUUUUCUAAAUGCCAAUAACAGCUCUAGAUUUUGUCUCAAGUCAAGUAUUCUUACUAAUGUAGCAUUUUGUUGGCACAUCAGUAUGUUUUGAUUGUUUCUCUGCUUGAAUAGAGAAUUGUUAACGUCCGGGUGGGAACGUGGGUCAGCUCAUGUUUUAGUCUCUCCGUCGUAAGCAAUUUUACAUGGUACUCUUCAAUGUAGCUAUAGGUAAGACAACACUCUCAGUAUUCCAUAAUCAAACCACCAUUUGAACUUUUUUUCAUCCACCAAGUUAAGCUUUUAUGUGCCAUCUUGAAUAGUUAUAAGUUAUUGCUUCAGAUUACUCCAGUGCGACAUUGUUGUUCUCUUCCUUACCUCUCAAGCUUGCUUAAUAUACCAAUUCUUAUUACUGUUGUAUUGUUAAGAAAUACUCAAUUGCGGAUUCAGUUCAUCGUUUUGAAUCGGAUAAAAAUUAACCACUCAGUGGUUAAUUAUCUAAAUGGGCGGUAGGUCUCGGGUUCGAGACUUGUGAGCAGUCUCUCCAUAAAUGGGGGUAAGGCUAGCCGACAUUCACCUCUCCCAGACCCUGCGUAAAGCGGGAGCCUUGUGCACUGGGUACGACCUUUUUAGUGGUUAAUUAUCUAAAUCCUAUAAAUUCGGAUAAAAAUUAAAGCAACUACAGAACAAAAACCUCAAGAAAUCAACGCAAAUUUACCUGUAUUUGAUCAUUUUUGGGCAAAUCAACACAUCGCCGUCGCAAAACUCAGUUCCUUCGCAUCCUUCAAUUACUGUCAACGUCGUCUAUCAAAUACCAAGAAAAAAUGUGAGUAAUGGAGUCAACUCAGCUCAACACCAGAACUCAGUAGCUCCAGGAAAUAAGAAUGGUAAGAAAAAGCAAUCAGAAACGUCGACGAAUUGAGCUGGAAAAUGGACCUUAAUGGUGAAGUCGUUCUCGCGAGCUUUGAGAGCGGAUGCGAAGAACUUAGGGAGUGGAUCGGACUCAGGGCCUUCGAUGCGCCACGGCCAGGCCUCCAGGGUCUUGUAGCAAAGGAAAACGUGGUGAUAGCUCAACAGUGUAUCGUCGUCAGUGUCUUCAUCAGACUCAUAUGACUUGGUCUUAUAGUUGUCCCAAAUAGUAAGAGCAUCAGACAAAUCCCAUUUUACAAUAUCCACUCCUGUUUUGUUCAGCUUAAUUAUAUUAUCUCCUCCAUAAAAUCUUGCUUUUACAAGAACUAUGUCGCCACCUUUCAAAUUGAGCUUCUUGUUUGAAAGAUUUCCCAACCAAAGAUAAUAUUCAUGGGAAGCAGUUAUGGCGGCCUUAAUUGUCCAGAUGCUAAAAUGAGUUCGUUGGGUACGAUUAACAACAUCAAUGCAUAGAUCCCCAGUAGAGUUGGAGUUGUCUGAAGAAUAAAUGAUGCCCAAAGCCAACCCUCCUAUAUAAUCAAUACUUGGCGGCACUUCAAAUUUGACAGUUUUAUCCUCUCCCGCGACAUAGGCUAACCAGUUAGGAAUAUCAUUUCCAGAGAGAAAAAUUCCACCAAAUGCAUUUUUCUACAACAUGGGGUGCAAAGUCAGUAUAAGCAACAAUACAAAAAGCAGAGAGAGAGAGAGAGAGUACCAUACCGUUCGGAGGUUCUCCUUAAAAGUAUCAGUGAGACUGGUACACCCUUCCAUUUUAAUGUAAAUUAUCGAACCCAUGUAGUCCAACGAGUUCUUAAAUUUUGGAAUAUCUUGAGUUUGCGGCAGUCUUUCAGUAACAAUAUCCUCAUUUUCGACAUCUCUGAAAUGUCGGACAUUAUUUCCAGUGCAGUGCAGUAAUUCGCUUGCAGUAAAAGCAAACUGUUCGGCAAAUCUGGGAUUUCCUGAAGGUUUGUGCAAUGAUCGAGAAUUAAUACCAGAAGCUGAGAAAGGCCACUGAGAAUGGGUAGCCUAUUAAAACCAUUCCCACCUAGACCUAAAAAUGUUAAAGAAGAUAGACUCCCAAUUAUUUCGAGAACGGCACCAUCUGUUAUAUUGCAGUCACUGAGAUCUAAUACGUCAAUCAUCUUCAGUUGUGCUAAAAAAUGGUAACCCCCACACAAACCCUUACAGCCACUGAGCUCCAAUUUAUUGAGAUGUGGGAGUUUUGAAAAGUCUGGUAAUUCAGUCAGGUGAUGACAGUCGUUAAGAAGGAGAUACUUCAACUUCUUAGGCAACUGUUACUCAAAAAGAGAAAACAAUAAUAAAAAUUCAAAUAAAUAAAAGAGAGAAUGCAUGAUGAUGACUGAUGUUGAUAUUUACAAGGACAUUGAUAAUUAUAUCGUACCAGGUCCGAAUCCUCCCAAACUCGUACGAUCUUGCUGUUGCUCAGGUUUAAAUAAACUAGGUUUCGUUGAUCAAAAUCUGCUGGUAUGGCUUCAAGAGGAAAUCCAAUCCAAUCCAACGCUCUUAACUCCUUGGAAAGAUGUUUGUAGCUUCCAGUCAGCUUUACAUUAGCCAGGUCGAGAAAUUUCAGACGCCACAUCUUCUUAAACGCUUUCGUACUGAAGCUUUGCUCGUCAUCAGAAUGUUCUGGCAAAAAUAAGUGUAGUCCUUCAACUGCUUCUGUUCCCUGUUAGAGAUCCAAAAUAAAAAAGGAUAAUAUUCACACGAAGCAUAGCUGUGAAUUGGAUGAAUGAACUACUAGAAAGGUAGGGCAUACAACAUAAUUAUGUAUUCUCUCUUUCAAUUUACAAUGGAUGAAAGCCUUUUUUCUUAAAAUACACUAUGUACAACAUACAUUAUAUAUAUGCGGAUAUGCGUAUAUACUUCUCUUUAUUUACAUGUACUUAACAUAACAUCUUUUCAUUGCAAAAGUACUUACAGAUUCGUUCCUUAGCACGCUUUUUGCAUCUUCACUAUGCCACAAAUGACUACGUUUUCCCAAUUUCACAGGAGAUUCUGCCCGCACAAUUUCUCUUCCCAUAUCUCGAAUCAAAUCAUGCAUCCUCAAUCUUUUCCUUUCAUCAAUAUAUAGGAGACAUCGAUCGCAGAGUGUGGUAAUUUCUGCUUCUACAGAAAAACGACUACAACCAUCCAAUACUGGAGUGGCCACACUUAUAUGCACUCCAAUAAAGAAAUUAGAUAUGUCUAGGAACACACCCUUCUCAUGAUCAUCACGUAGUCCAUCGUAGCUUAAUUUAAGCGUUUCAUGAAUUUUUCCGUCUGGAAUAUUUCUCAAUUUAUCCAAUGUACUUUCCCAUAUGGUUUUACUCUUUUUCUUAGCCAACAAACGACCAACAACUUUCAGAGCUAGGGGCAAUCCUCCACAAUAAUCAACAAUAUCUCUUGCCAAUUCAAUAUAUUCUUUAUCGGGAUAAUCAUUUCCAAAGGCAUGCCAACUAAGGAGCUCAAAAGCUUCUUUCUCUGUCAUUGCUUGUGCCUUAUAUUUUUUAUCCACCUUUUGUAUAUUCAGCACAUGUUCAUCUCUUGUUGUUAUAAUAAUUCUACUCCCUGGACCAAACGAUUCAUGUUCUAUUGCCAAUUCAUCUAAUUGGUCUGCAUCAUCUAUGUCAUCAACCACGACAAGUACCUUCAUGCUUCCAAGUCUUUUCUUGAUCUCUUUGGUCCCUUCGGCAACACUGCUUACCUUAAUGUCAGGCUGUUUUAAAAUAUCUCGAAGAAGUUGUUCUUGCAAACUAACCAUCGCUUUCUUUUUACUCCUCACAUCUUCAAGGUAACAUUGACGACUAAAACUAUGCUGAUAAUUGCUACAAACGGCUCUGGCAAGCAUUGUUUUACCUAUACCGCCCAUACCACAAAUUCCAAUUAUUCGAACAUCAGGUGAACCUCCAACGUCUAAGUAUUUAGUACAAAAUUCUUGCAAGCGAAAAGCCAUUCCAACUAAGUGCUUGGCUUCUUUAAAGUCUGUGGUUUUCAGUAGUCCUUUGACGUCCCCAACAAUUUUCUCGAUAAACACCCCUUCACACCUACGAGUAGAAAUUCCAAAUUACGAGAGCCAUACUAAAUGCCUUAUUCAUAAUGACUAGAUAUUUACAUAUUGAAACAUAUUUGAAUAAACUGGAUUAAUUGAGCUCAAUUCAACCACGUAUCCAAUCUUUGAUUAUAAUGUGAAUACAUUAGAUCAUUGGUGAUUUGACUAUUAUGCAAUUGUAGCUUUCAGUAAUAUAAUUAAGAAUCCAUUACAAUUGGUAUUUUAAAUUGAUAAAGUGUGGAGCAUUUGUCCUUCACACACCCAUAAAAAACAAAGCACGUACCCUGCGCUUCACUUCCUUAAUUUCCACGGAAAUUAUUAUGCAAAUGCUCUACCUUUUAUAAAAUUCAUAUACCAAUUGUAAUAAAUUUUUAUGUAGGGACCAAAAUUACAGUUCUAUUAUAGUUCAGAGAUCAACGAUCCAAUUUUUCUUAUGACAUAUAAAAUCAGAUUCAAUGCCUUAAUUAUAAUAUCUUAAUUUUGGUUGAUUAGUGAAAUAUGGUGAUAUGAAAUUUGAAGUAAACAAAAAAGUAUACCCGUCGGCCGUGGUUUUGAGGUUCCAGCCGGCCAAAUCUGCAGAAGCCUUAAGAUCCUCUCUCCACUGCUUGACCUCAUUUGGAUCUUCAUCCUUUUCAUGCUUCUGAAAUGCUUCCCCAAAACUAUCUUUCUGUUUCCUGACUUGAGAAGGGUCAACGUCGUAGAAUAUUGGACACACUAUCUUCCCCUCUUGAUCUUUUAGGCACCUCAUGAUCUUCGACAGCUCCCUCAGGCACCACCGGGACUCCGCGUACCUCUUCGAGAAGACGAUGACAGCGAUCCUCGACCCUUCGAUUUCUUGGUCAAGUUCACUCUGUAUGUCUUCCCCCCUUCUGAGCUGUUUGUCUAUAAACGUGUUAAUUCCGGCAUUGCGUAACGCAAUGAAGAGGUGGUCUGUGAAGGUGUUGCGGGUAUCUUCGCCUCUAAAGCUCAGGAACACCUCGUACUUCCAGCGGUUUGAGCUCUGCGAGGAAGACGAAGAGGCGGCAGAGCCAGCUCCUUGGGCGGAGCUGCUGGUAUCCAUUGCAGACCGUAGAAGUGCAGCUUGGCUUUCAAAUAACCAAAGUCAAGUCUUUACCCAGUGUCGGUGGCCGUUUUAGAUAUUUUGCAUGGGCCAAUAAUGUCACUGCUGUGUCGAUAACGCGCUCCCACAGUUUAAUUUGUAUAAAUGCUUUACGAUGCAAUUUCCUUUCUUUUGUAGUCUUUUGAGAAUCUGCCGCCCAACUUUGACCGGUUGACGAUCUUAUUGUAUUAUAAGAUGUGCAUUUUGAUUAUCAUCAUUUAAUGUGAUGUAUGUUCAUCAAAUUAUUUAUUAUUAUUAGAUGAGUUUAAAUUUUAAGAUUUGUACUUAUGCACUACCCACCCGAAUCUCGAAAUUCAAACACAUUUAACGAUGAUAAAUAGAAUGAUAAACAUAUAUCAUACUAAAUAAUGGUGAGCAAAAAUGCUCCCGUAUUUUAAGGGUGGUGCGCAGCACGUUCCAACUGUUGGAGUCAGUAGUAUCAACGGGAAGAGACCUCAUCUCCAACAACCCAUCUUAACAAAAAAUGCAGAAAAUUAAACUCCAACAGGCUAACUAAAUGACUCUUUAUUUUGUGAACGGUAACUAACUAAAUUUAACCAGGAGACAUUCGUAGCUUACGUCAAAAGGAUCAAUGUUGUAAUAUAAGUAAUUUACUUGCUCAAAAUAAGGAUCAAUUUAGCUACGAAAGCAGGGAGAUGAUCGAGCUCACGAUAGCAGAUUUUUUUAUCCUAUCGUCUUGCAAGGGAAACAAGCUACCAAUUGCUUGCAUCAUCUGAAGCCAUCCAACUAAUGGUUGAAUUUCUCAGUCAAGACUAUGCUCAAGGCAUCAGUGUGCAGGCCAGACUCGACAGCAUAGCCACACUACACAACCUCUCGCGCUGCCAUCAGAUUAUUCCGUCUCUGGUCUCUUCGGGCGUAGUGUUUUCAAUGCUAAAACUGCGGCAUGGAAGCUGUUUCUUUUUGAGACUGUUCCAAUUAUGGUUCGAGAAACAAGCAGUCAAGGAAUAAGUUGAUGGGGUGAGUACAACGGCAUUGAGACUGUUCCAAUUAUGCAGGAAGUUGAUGCAGAAGGAGAAAAAGUUGACGGGGUAAGUACAACGGCAUUGAGACUGGUAGAGGAGAAGCUUGCAAAGAUCAGCAGUGGACGAUAAUCUCGACCAAACUCUGAGCUUUGCCAAGCAGAUUAAGAUGUUGGAACAGCCGUUCAUCUUGUUUAUUGAACAAACGAGGAGGACAACAAUGCAGAAUCAACGCUUGAAUUCAAAGUCCCAACAGGCAAAUCGAAAAUAAUCACAAGAGCUUAGAAAAUACCACACCAACAUUUGGCAAGCAGUCUCACAACAAAUCCCACUAUCAAGAUAAAACCAUUCAACGGUGUGUUGGAACAACAGAUUUCAGUUGUGUAAGCAAUCAACAUAAAGGAACAGUGAAUACUUUUGUAACUAUAUAUGGAUUAGCUUCGGGAAUUCAUCAAACCCUCCGAAAAAGAACGUAUAGUGUAGCUACCAUAUUCUCCUUUCAUAUAAGAGCUUAUUUAAUUGACGUUAUAACACCUUUCUACAAAGAAAAAAAAGAAGAAAAUAGGGCCUCUACACCCAUGGCAAAACCCGACAUGGAUUAGAGUACGUUUCAGCCUGACCUUCUGUAAAAGCUAUAGGCCACAGCCACUGUUGCCACAGCUCCAACCACGGCAGCAGCUGCGAGAACAUCGCUUUGCUCCCAGUUCCCGAUCAAGCUUGACAGCUUCCCUAAGGCAUCCUUCCUGGCACACGACUCUCUGGUUUCUUUCACCUUCUUUUCCUCACUUCCAUUGUUCUGCUCUAAACUUACUUCUUUGCAGCAUGUAAAUCCAUUACUAUUAGCACCCUGGCAACAGCCUGAAAAGUUCUCAUUAUUCUGAAUCUGAUUGCCGUUUUCUUAGGGCUUCUCCUCCAUUUUCUUACUUUCUCCUCCAUUUGGAAGCUUCUGGUCAUUAAUUUUUUCAGCUUCAUCCGAAGAUGCUCCCAUUUGGCCCCUGUAAGGAAUGAAAUUGAAUUUCGAGUUCAGCCAUUUAAAGAUUCAACUCUAUGUUUCAUCAAUAGCAAUCGAGUAAGGACAUGUAUGAUCAAGCUUAAUAAACAAUUUGACAACAGUACCUACUUGACCCCGUCCCCCCUUCCCCAAAACCACCUUUGGUUUGGUUCUAUAAAAAAAAAAAAAUUGUUUGAUUUGGUUCACACGAGUUGUUUGAUUUGGUUCCUCAAUGUUAAUGUAACUCCAUAUCAAUAAUCUAUCUUCCAACACUAUAAGUAAUCAGCAAUAGGAAAAUAUGACAACAGAAGCUUCAGUUCCAGUGAACUUUUCAUCAGCAGACGGUUGGCAAAACCGAAAACACACAAUCCUCCAAAGUCGUUCUAUGAUCUCUCCCUUCCCAAUAUGCUGAUCAAGCAAUUCCGGCACAUCCUUAGGAGUGACGUAGCCAUACCUGCAAUUAUUAAUACCAUAAUAUUCAAAUUCCUUCAUCUAUCCCAAUACAAUAAAUUUUACAUUGUUAUGAUCCGGAUAUUACCAAUGGCCUGUUAUGCUUCCAUCUGAACCUGGGCUGUAGACAAUCAAGUUUCCAGCACACUUGUGGUCUCCAAUGUGAGAGCAAGCAGUAACAAAUACCUGAUUUGUCAAUCCUCGCAGCUCAGCCUCCUCUUUGAACUUAUCAAUGAGAAUAGGUCCACAAACUCCACAUUUUUAUCUCGACUUCCAUGUAGACCUGUAAACGGGUUAGGUUUAUUGGGUUUGGGUCGGGUUGAACCCGACCCGUUAAGUUAACGGGUCACCCGAACCCGACCCGUUAAGCUAACGGGUCACCCGAACCCGACCCGUUAAGCUAACGGGUCACCCGUUUCACCCGUUAACACCCGUUAACAAUUAUUAUUAUUUUUUUUUUGCAUAAAGUUUAUUUUUUGUUAUUAAAACUUUACUAAAAUUACUAAAAUAUCCUCAACUAACGGGUGCUAACGGGUGUUAACGGGUCUAACGGGUUGACCCAAAGUGACCCGUUAUUUAACGGGUGUUAACGGGUUCACCCGUUAGCGACCCGACCCGUUAAGCAUCCACCCAAAUACAAAUAUUAACGGGUUGGGUCGGGUUAACGGGUUGGGUCCAAAAUGCCAGGCCUACUUCCAUGUGCACAUACAAAUACAUGGGAGCCAGUCAACGCCUCUUGCACUACGGAAGCCCAUGGUUUGUCGUUCACAAGGACAUCAAUUGGUUAGAAACCAAGCCAUGUUACCGGCACACAGCCUCAGAGUAAACAAGGAAAAUUUCAAGGUAUCAACACUAAAACUAGUCCAAAACACACUAAAUUAGCUCAAUUCGAGACUUCGUAAAUUGAAAUGGGAAAAUCAUAAACUCUAUCUCUAGUUAGCAAUCAUCGAAAUCUCCUAGUCAAAUAAAGCAAAUCUGAAGAAUCAAAACACCACUCACUGGUUAAUUAUCUAAAUCCUAUAAAUUUCGGUUAAAAUUAAGCAACUACAGAACAAAAACAUCUUUACCUGUAUUUGAUCAUUUGUGGGAAAAUCAACACUUCGCCGUCGGAAAACUCAGUUCCUUCGCGUCCUUUAAUUACUGUCGGGUCUAUCAAAAACCAAGAAAAAAGUGAGUAAUGGAGUCAACUCAGCUCAACACCAGAACUCAGUAGCUCCAGUAAAUAAGAAACGGCAAGAAAAGCGAAACGCCGACGAGUUGAACUGCAAAACGGACCUUAACGGCGAUGUCGUUCUUGCGAGCUUUGAGAGCGGAGGCGAAGAACUUAGGGAGCAGAACGGACUCAGAGCCUUCGACGCACGACGGCCAGGCCUCGGGGGUCUUGUAGCAGAGUAAGACGUGGCGGUCGUACGCGUUGACAGUGCCAGCAAGUUUUUCCUUGCACAUCUCCAAUCUCUUGAAACCGAACCUCUCGUCUUCGGUGGCUGGAACGGCGACGUCGAGGUCAUCGGAGACCAUUGCUAGGGCUCGGAGAGGAGGGAGGGGUUUACCAGGGGUUGAAGUUGAAAACGAUGAGAGGGAAAAGAUGAGAGAGAAAGAGCGUUGUUGUUUGGUUGUUGUGUUGAUAUAACGAGGAGGCUGAGAAGGGAACCGCGGUGUCGGUGUGGGUGUAGGUGCGUGCGCAACACAUACGGCGCACGAUGGGGUUUCUGAAGAUCGGAGUCGGGACGCGUGGGAUUGGGCACGUGGGGUUUGAUUUGUAGUUCAUGUAUAUACCUCUUUUUUGAGAAUAAAGAUUUUUUUUGGAUCCUCUUUGUAGGGAUUUUAUAGUUUGUGUAUCGUAUUCAUUCAUUGUAAAUCAGACGGUUAGAAAUUACUUUAAAUCUAUAAAUUUAAAAUUAAACACAAAUAAUAUUUAAAGAAAAUUGACUGCAUAAUUAAUACGAUAAACGAACACAAUUAAAAAAUUCUCAGAAUCCUCGUAAAAAGAAUCCGAACUCUUUUGAUGUCUCCGAUCAUAUCGGACGGAAGCUAAAAGAUAAUUCGUGCACGCAAAAAUGGAAGGUCCUACAAACGGAGGAGGACCACUCUCUAUUCCCGGGAAGUGGGGUACAAGCGCGUAUGUAUAUAUCACCCAAUGGGGCACCAAUAUGUUGUACUAGCAGGGAACUGAAUGAGGUGAAAUUGGAAAAUCCCUUAAACUUGGUGAUGUGGCGACCUGUGAUUCGGCCUUCACAUUCUGUCAAGAAACAGGCCGGUCACUUUGUUGAUUAAGUCAAGCAGUCAGCCUUAGCCCGACGUGGACAAGUUCUGGAAGUCUUGUUUCGCUCAUUUAUUUAUUUCUUGUCAAUGACGUGUAAUAUUUGAUUUCAUUUGUUUUUUUGGUGGACUAAUAUUAAAUAUACUUUUGUCAAUGAAUUAAUGAUACAAUUUAGAACGGUGAUAUUCACACAUUUUGCACAUAUUCUUCAAUUUGAUAGUUGAAAAUUGAGAAGAAUGUGUGUGAAAUGUAAAAAGAACGUGUAAAUAGCAUAUCCCUACAAUUUAAUAUAAAGGAAUGUAGAUUUCAAACAACGAUUGUUUUUUAAGGUAACGCUUUUGUUCUUGAUUUUUCAUGUUUGAGCUUGAAAUGAACCGCUUUCAUAAUCUAUUGUAUUACUUUGUGUUCAGUUGAAUAAAGUAUCUUUUUCCAACGAAAAAUAAACGGAAUGGCAUUUAAAUAAGGAGUGUAGAGAGUGUAUGCGUAAGGAAAGAGGCAUGCAAAAUUCAUUUCAGCUCAUACAUCUUUGUGUUGCUUAUGUUGGUCUUUCAAUUAAUUAUGUUGAGAGUGAGGAAAUAAAUUGUACUUAGCAGUGUCAAAUUACAACCCUAAUCGAAAAACGUCUUGUUCGCCGGACCUACUCGACUGCUCCGAACAAUGUAAGGCCGAAAGGCGGACGAUACAUAAUCGGGUUUUUUCGAAGUAGGCAUUCAUAAACAUCAAGGAAGCAUACUUGGUAGAAAAUGAAAGAUCCUCAACUUCAUUCCUCAAAUUUUCAAUGCAAUUGAAUUUCCUCAAAUCUAAGGAACUACCAGAUUGUAAUGCUUGCAAUGGAAGGGAACCAUUGUGUACAUGUAGCAUCCACAUGAAUCAGUUGGAGGCUUGUUGGAGUUUUUAACGGAAUGACCAAAAUGAUGGAUGGUAGACAAUCUCAAGGACCACUUUUGAUUAUUUACCCUUCUAUUGAAUUUGCAAAGGGGAAGAAGUUUUAAAUCCAUUACAAAAGAGAUAAUUGCAGCAUGAUUGAUAACAUGCUCAUCACGUGAUUGGGUUCCUAAAAUUCCCAGGUUGUUGCAGGCUUCCUCGUCCUUGUAGAAUAUUUUGUUCAACAAUUCCAGAGAAAAACAAUUAUUCGAUUCGUUUCAGGUAACAGAUGAGUAGCUUAAUUCAAAACUUGUUUUCGUUCUAGAAGUUUAGAUUAUACAAGUGAAUGGUCAAUAUGAUAUACUCGAUAAAAUUACAUGUCUCCUUUUAAAUUUAAAGUUCAUUAUUUUGAAGUGAUUUUUGGAAUUUAAUUUUUCAAUUUAUUUGAUUGAGAGGUGAGGAAUUGGAGAUAAUUAAUUAUGUUUGGGGGUUAACUGGUAUCCUCUAGAAUAUGUUUUUUUUUUUAAUGAGGAAUCCUCUAGAAAAUGUUUAACUUUAUUUUAAAUUUUCAUGUGGUUUUGGCUUCAAUGAGGCAAUGGCAUAUGUGUAAAUAAACAAAAGUUUAAUUCUAACCUAAGGGGGCUGACGGAAGUCAGGGGCAUGGAUGGAAAAGGAGUUUCUUACUUUGCACGUGGGGCUUUAUUGUUUGGGUUAUUCCUCCUAGCUUUUGUCAUUUUCAUUAAAAUUUAAAUCUUUUUAUUAAGUAAAAUUAUUAAAUAGUUUUUUUAUUAAGAAAUUGUUAUUAGGAUUCUAAAAAUCUCAUUUAGCAUUCUAAAUUUUUUAUAAUUAGAAAAAAAAAUACACUUAUAAGAAGUGUAAAUGAGAUUUUUGAAAUGCUAAUAACAAUUCGAUUUUAUUAAUAAAAAGUUUGAAGAAGGCCUUUUCAUUAAAAUUCCCCCAAAAAAAAAGGAGUAUGCUUCUUCCUAAAACGCUUCUUUAGGCCAUAUAAACAAACAGUGAGACGUAAAAACAUGCCCCAACCUCAAAUAUUUCUCUCACAAACAAGGAGAGAAUUUUCAGUGUGACCGGUACACAAGGUGGUACACCACGUAUCACUAAACAAAUAAUAGGAUAUGUGUGCUAAAAAGUUAAUAACUUAAAAAAUAAAAUUUCCCACUAUUCUUAUUAAAACACGUGAUGUAUCACUUAUAUUCCCGUCACAACUAAAAAUUUCCCUACAAACAGAGAGACGUAAAAACAUGCUGCCAUGGGCUUCAGAGAGGAAAAAAGAUCAGGAAAAAAAAUGACCUGAUUGGGUAAGACUUGUACACAAGUUUGUAGUAAAUGUCUACGUACCUUCCUUACAAGUCUGUCUCUUUACUGUGCUUUCCUUCAAUUCACUGUUGUUUCUUCAUCGUCAAAGCUUUCAAUAUUAAGAUCAAACCUUAAUGUUUUGCAGACCUCAUCAGAUGAGUGAUCUCUUAACUCUGUACCAUUGUGGGUGUCGUCAUCAAACUCAUAUGGUAUAGUCUAAUAGUCUGCCUCAUCAGUAUCAUCAUCUCACUCUAAUGGUACACGCUCAUAGUUCACAUUUUUUAUUUCUGAAGGUAAACAAUGUUCCCAUCCUACAAAAUUCACUCCUGUUUUCUUCACCUUACGAACCUUGUCCCCCCUUUUCAGAUUGAGCUUCCUGUUUGAAAGACUUCCCAGCCAAAGAUAAUCUUCAUGGGAAUCAGUUAUGGUGGCAUCCAUUCACCAGAUGGAAAAAUAAGUUCUCUGGGUAACCACAUCGAGGCAUAGAGACCCACUACACUGGGAUGGUCCGAAGAAUAAACGAUGCACACAGCCAACCCUCCUAUAUAAUCAAAACUUGGCGGCACUUCAAAUUUGACAUUUUCUUCCUCUCUCACGACAUAGGUUAACGAUUAAGGAAUAACAUUUCAAGAGCGACAAAUUUCACCAAAUACAUCCCCCACCUUCCAUUUCUACAACACGGCGUGCAAAGUUUGUAUAAGCAAACAAUACGAGAAGGGCAGAGCGAGAGAGAGAGAGAGAGAGAGAGAGAGAGAGAGAGAGAGAGAGAGAGAGAGUAUCAUGCAACAAAACAUAAAAACUCAUCUGGGAGAAUUAUGACUCUUGUGAAUUGGUAGUAUUAUCGAUGCAUAUGUUAUAUGAUCUUCAAACUCGCUAUAGCGUGACUUUUUUUUUUUGUAUCUUUUUCAUCAACUUCAUUUGUUUUUUUUUUUUUUCAAGUAGAGCUGAUAAACUUAAAAUUUAUCCACAACCUAAAAAAUGGAAGAAAAAAAAAGAGGUGGAUGUACAAAAUCCUUGCUAUGCCCUCUAUAUUCAACAGAACAAUAAAUUGAGUUAACGGAUAUAAUUGAAGUACCAUAUUUGAUUGUGUUUGAGAACCAUAAUAAGGAAAAAAAAAAACUACUCUAGAAUGAAGGUAAAACUCGUGACAACAAUGGUGUACAUCUAAAAAAUAGUUCAAGCAGAUUAAGAUGUUAGCGCAUAGACAAAUAUCUCGUUUAUUGAACAAACGAUGAGGAUAACAAUGCCGUUUUCUCUCUUUCGAAAUUCAUAAACAACAAAAUUGAGAUUUGUUACACAAAAAUUACCAUAAAUUUUGACAGAAUUGGCGGUUGAAAUAUAAGUCCAGCAUCCAAAUCGAAAACAAUCAUAGGAGCUUAGAAAAUACCACAUCAACCUUUAGCAAGUAGUCUCAUAAGAAAUCCCAAUCAAGAUAAAACCAUUCAACAGUUUAUUAGACUUCUCCUUUCAUAUAAGAGCAUGGUUCGGAGGAUAAUUUAAUUGACCUCAUAACAUCUUUCUACAAAGAAAAAAUGAAAAAGAAAAUAGGGCCUCGACACCUGUGGCAAAACCCGACAUGGAUUAGAGUACUUUUCUGCCU